GAUGAACGCUGGCGGCGUGCCUAAUACAUGCAAGUCGAGCGAAUGGAUUAAGAGCUUGCUCUUAUGAAGUUAGCGGCGGACGGGUGAGUAACACGUGGGUAACCUGCCCAUAAGACUGGGAUAACUCCGGGAAACCGGGGCUAAUACCGGAUAACAUUUUGAACCGCAUGGUUCGAAAUUGAAAGGCGGCUUCGGCUGUCACUUAUGGAUGGACCCGCGUCGCAUUAGCGAGUUGGUGAGGUAACGGCUCACCAAGGCAACGAUGCGUAGCCGACCUGAGAGGGUGAUCGGCCAAACGGGGACUGAGACACGGCCCAGACUCCGACGGGAGGCAGCAGUAGGGAAUCUUCCGCAAUGGACGCAAGUCUGACGGAGCAACGCCGCGUGAGUGAAGAAGGGUUUCGGCUCGUAAAACUCUGUUGUUAAGGAAGAACGCCAGGUAGAGUAACUGCUACCUGUGUGACGGUACUUAACCAGAAAGCCACGGCUAACUACGUGCCAGCAGCCGCUGUAA
RNAcentral lists this ribosomal RNA (514 nucleotides) under uncultured bacterium. Its description in RNAcentral is "partial 16S ribosomal RNA". It matches the Rfam family "Bacterial small subunit ribosomal RNA", at positions 28 to 523 of the family's 1533-position model. The record is from RNAcentral.